Long non-coding RNA from Astyanax mexicanus (Mexican tetra), 1573 nucleotides. RefSeq lists it as uncharacterized. The record is from RefSeq and is a predicted model, not a curated record. Lineage: Eukaryota; Metazoa; Chordata; Actinopteri; Characiformes; Acestrorhamphidae. The transcript is spliced from 2 exons.
AAGUUUAAAAAUACUUAUUUGUUUUUCUGUUAAAAUUCCACCAAAAUCCUGAUUUUUGUGUAAAUAUCUGUUUUAUGUUCCAUUUAUUUCAUAUUUGUACUGGGGGAUCUUUUAUUUUAGAGUGUUGGUUUACUGUGUACUGUCCCUUUAAGAGACUCAGCUCUAUUUGGCGCCAUCGGCGUACUGAUCUCAGUCUGUGUAUAACUAACAGAGAGAAGGUACGUAGUUCUGAUGUCUGUGCUUAAAACACAUAUUUUUCUGUUAAAACAGCAUAAUAUGGGCAGUAAGUAGUGUUAAAAGCUAGAAACAGGAUUGUGAAUGUGUAAAUAUGCAGUAGUUUUAAGGUGAACUUUAUAAAAUGUCUUUUAUGUCGAGUUUUACUGACACACGUGCUCUGUGGCUUCACGCCCCCCCCGUGUGCAUUUCUGCUAACAGAGAGAAGGAGGCUGAUAACCUGCAUGUAUAUGAGAGAGAGAGCAGCGUGUAUGUUCACUGCAGAGCUGUAUGUUCAAUCCAGAGCUUUAUGAGCUUAUUUAUCUGUUUAUACAGGUAUGUUUCCCCCCCCCCCAGUCACUUUCAUUUACUGUUUAAGCAUAUAUCUGUUAAUUCGUUGUGUUUUUGCUAAUUUUAUUUAAAUGCAGAGCUGGUUUUAGCUAAUUUUAUUAUUUUUAUUUUAUUUUCAUAUAUUGCUAACUCAUAUGUAAGGUUGCCUAUAUAUUCAGAGUAUCUCAGUCUGUGUAUAACUAACAGAGAGAAGAGAGAAGGAGGCUGAUAACCUGCAUGUAUAUGAGAGAGAGAGCAGCGUGUAUGUUCACUGCAGAGCUGUAUGUUCAAUCCAGAGCUUUAUGAGCUUAUUUAUCUGUUUAUACAGACCAGCAAAAUUAAAGCAUCCAAACCAGCAGUGGCCGUGGUCCGAGUCCUUCCUCACCGUGUCACAGAACACAACGCAGAGUAUCCAUGGGUUAACGGGAGUGUGAAUGGACAGUUCUGACCAUCUCACAGUUCCAAUACACACCCGUUACAAUGGUGCCGUGACGCCUUUGGGAGGAGAAGAUCGACGUCAGCUCGUUCGCCGUGGGAAGCUGCAGUUGCAUGUGUUUCUGGUCAAGAGAGAAGGAGGCUGAUAACCUGCAUGUAUAUGAGAGAGAGAGCAGCGUGUAUGUUCACUGCAGAGCUGUAUGUUCAAUCCAGAGCUUUAUGAGCUUAUUUAUCUGUUUAUACAGGUAUGUUUCCCCCCCCCAGUCACUUUCAUUUACUGUUUAAGCAUAUAUCUGUUAAUUCGUUGUGUUUUUGCUAAUUUUAUUUAAAUGCAGAGCUGGUUUUAGCUAAUUUUAUUAUUUUUAUUUUAUUUUCAUAUAUUGCUAACUCAUAUGUAAGGUUGCCUAUAUAUUCAGAGUAUCUCAGUCUGUGUAUAACUAACAGAGAGAAGAGAGAAGGAGGCUGAUAACCUGCAUGUAUAUGAGAGAGAGAGCAGCGUGUAUGUUCACUGCAGAGCUGUAUGUUCAAUCCAGAGCUUUAUGAGCUUAUUUAUCUGUUUAUACAGACCAGCAAAAUUAAAGCAUCCAAACCAGCA